UCGCUCCUACCGAUUUCGAGUGGUCCGGUGAACCAUUUGGACCGAAGGCAACUUCGUGUAGCUUUUGGAAAAUCUAGUAAACCACAUCACUUAGAGGAAGGAG
RNAcentral lists this ribosomal RNA (103 nucleotides) under uncultured eukaryote. Its description in RNAcentral is "partial small subunit ribosomal RNA". The record is from RNAcentral.